UUCACACAAUGUGGGGGUCUAGGAAGCUGAAAUAUAUAGGGCAAGUGAGCAGGCUGGAAACUAAAAGCUUCUGCACAGCCAACAGUCAACAAAAUGAAAAGGCAGGCUAUGGUUUGGGAGAAGCUAUUUGCGAACCAUGUAUCUAAUAAUGAGUUAAUAUCCAAAAUAUAUAAAGAACUCACACAGCUCAAUAGCAAAUAAAUAAAUAGUCUGGUUAACAAAUAGGCAAAGGACUUGAAUAGGCAUUUGUAGAAGGAAAACACACAACUGGCCAACAGGUAUAUGAAAAUGUGCUCAACAUCAUUAAUAAUCAGAGAAUGCAAAUGAAAACCACAAUGAACUAUCACCUCACUGUUACACGCUGUUGACAGACAUGUAAUUGGUACAGCCGUUAUAAAAAACAGUGUAAUGGUUCCUUGGAAAAUCAAAAUAGAUCUACCAUGUGACCCAGCAGUUCAUCUGUUAAGUAUGUACCACCCCCCAAAAAUGAAGUCCACAUCUCAUAUAGAUAUCUCCAGUACUAACUAAUUGUAACUCAUUAAUUACACAGGAAAUUAGAGUUUCUAUUUUAAAAGAAUGUUUUUUUCACCAUUCUGGUAUCAAAUAUUUAUUCUAGUCAUCUCUUCUUAUUUCUUGCUUUGUAAUAACCUAGGUACUCACUACCCAUUGACAGAACCAACUUAUUAUUCCAACAAGAAAUGAGAAAUACUGAGGAGAAUGCAAUGUGAUACUUCUGUCUUCAACCAGUUAUUCCAGUUUUAUGGAGGAUUCUGUAUUUAACUCUUACUCAGGACUCCAGAAACUGGGCCCAUAUAAGAACACACAAGGAGGCAUCGCACUACCUGACUUCAAAAUAUACUACAAAGAGAUGGUGACAAAAGAGUAAAUGAACAAUGUCAGAAUCAAAAGAUACUCUGCCUGGUAAGAACUUGCAAUGGAAUUUUUAAAAAAUGAGAUUAAAACAAAUAAAAAUAUGUUUAAAACUCAUUAAAUAUUUUUUAAGUACUUGCUGUUUUAAUGAAACUGAACAACAAAGACCCUGUCCUUAGUGAGCCUGCAAGCUAGUGGGGGACUCCAGUAAUAAUCAAACUAUCACAAAAAUAUGCCUUUAAAACACAUCACAUUCUCUGAGACGACCUCCUAGGUGUUGGGGUUCAGAAAAGGUUUCUCUGCUGAAUUGAUGUUUGGCAAUCAGGCCAAUGGGAAUGGGGCUUGGGGCGAGGAUGACGUCAGUUGUCCAGGUAGCACUCUUGAGUGGAAGGUGCAUGGAUGGUUGAGGGACUGAGAGAAUGUUACUGCAGUUAGAACUUAAAGGAUGAGGGUGGGGUUCUGGGCAUUGCAGGAUGGAGACAUAACACAUGAUGCAUCGGGAGAGAAAAGGAAGGAAGGGCUAUCUUGCACGAUUUUUUAAAGAUACACUGAGAACCUUGGCCAUUCCUUGAGAGCUCACACUGGAGAGCAUAAGAGCAGUUAGAAGACUGUCACAGUUACCCAGAGUAGAGACGAUGAUAGCUUGCGUAACGGUGGUGUUGGUGAAGAUGGAGAAAAACAGAUAAAAUGAGAGA
Pan troglodytes (chimpanzee) is the source of this 1565-nucleotide long non-coding RNA. RefSeq lists it as uncharacterized. The record is from RefSeq and is a predicted model, not a curated record. The transcript has 3 exons. NCBI's taxonomy places the organism in Eukaryota, Metazoa, Chordata, Mammalia, Primates, Hominidae.